Molecule: long non-coding RNA, 2218 nt
Organism: Gallus gallus (chicken)
Lineage: Eukaryota; Metazoa; Chordata; Aves; Galliformes; Phasianidae
Source: Ensembl
UUCCACACCCGUGUGCCCCUGGGUCUACCUCGAUAUCCUCUGCAUCUCCUUGGGGCAUGGUAGACUGAGAUAGGAGAGGAAGAUGGUAGCACUGCCUGACAUCAAACCUGUCUCAGGCAGGUACUACAUUUGGGUUCACUCUGCCCUCAACUAGAGGCAACACAGAUAGCAGGGUAAUCAGAGACUUCCAGGCAUCAGAGACUGUAUUACAGAGCAGGGGUAGAGAAUCAUGCUACCUUUUAACUCACUUCCUAAUAGGAGAGGGACAGAACAUAAAGUACUGACAGCAGAAAAUCUAAGCUGAGAAAGUUAAUAAGAAACAUCACAUGCCCUGAAGACUCUGCCAGACUUGUAGAACUGGGCAGAACCCAAACAUCUUCUUACAAGCACUCACUGAAGCUACCUCAAGGAACUAUCCAGUUUUGAGAGUAACAAACACAAGAUGAUCACAGCCAGCACAGAUAUCAGCACAACACCUUGCACUUCCCUAGGAGACAACACUUGCUCCUUCAGAUAUGUCUGGUCCUACCAAAAAUGGCUGAACCCAAUUCAAGAAAAAUAAUACCAUAUCUUUCCUGGAUAGCACUGUGGAUAUCUUUUUUCCUCCAGUACAGCCAAUAAUAUGUUCAAGACACAAUUCUUUGUGCUGACCUUCCAUCAAACGCUUAUCUAGUUUGCUCAGCAAAGCAGAAAACCCAUUUGUUUGGUUCCAACAAGUCAGUGUAAAGUUUUCCACUUCCACACCAGUAAUAUGAAAGAGGCAGGCAAAUAGAACUUUCCCUAAAGUAAAAAUUAGCUAGUUUUUGUAGAAGUUGUUUUCAAGCAGACCCUUGUAUUAAACGUGCUUUAGUGAUAUUGGCAUGUAACCCCUUGUUAUUAAUAGGCACAGGAUACAGAUACCUUUUUUCAUGCUCUUAUGCCUCCCUGCAGCAUUUAGCUCCUUCUGUUCUCCAGGCUGAACAGCCCCAGCUCUCUCAGCCUGUCCUCGUAGGAGAGGUGUUCCAUCCCUUAGCUCAUUUUUGUGGCCCUCCUCUGGACAUGCUUCAAGAGCUACAUGUUUCUCCUGUACUGAGGACUCCACAUCUGGACGCAGUACUCCAGGUGAGGCCUCACCAGUGCAGAGCACAGGGGCAGGAUCACCUUCCUCACCCUGCUGGCCACGCUUCUUUAGAUGCAGCUUUGGAUACAGUAGGCUUUGCAGGCUGCAAGCUUACCAUCCACCAGUAUCCCAAAGUCCUUUUUGGCAAGGCUGUGCUCAAUCCUUUCAUCCCCCAAUAUAAUACAUGUCCAUAUACCUGUGAGUUCACAUGCUGCAAUGUGUUACUGUCAGAAAGGGGUAAUUAUUUAUAACCUGCAAAUGAAACGUUCAAAACGGUGGUAGUCUGAAUGAGAUCUCAGAGCUCUUGUUACGCAGGUAAUGCAGAUUUCUGGUGUUUAUUCUCCCUUGGACAGAAACCACAUAGCCAACUCUAUGCUGCAGGUGAGAGGGUGAGUUUAGGGCUGAUUGAUCUGGGCACUAUAAAAUACAUUUGUGGAAAUACCCUUGACAGCAUGAACUCCUACCUAAUGCUUUCCUUGGAGGUUUAUGGCUUGCACAUGAAAAACUGCAAAUCCCUCCCAAAGGCAUUUUUGGUCGAAUUCUUGGAGAACACCUAGAAAAUCAAGAAUCAGACCAUCUUAAUGAGAUCCUGCACAGUCGCACAGCCUGCCUCUUCAAAAAGGUGGCUCUGCUCAGAACAACCCUUACUGCCUCAGCUUGGGGUGUUUAAAUAUCCAGUUAAUAAAAAUUAUCUGCCAAGCAGCCCUUCAAACUACCCGGUGAAAUAUUCCUACCCUGAUAGAAACUCACGAAAAUUUAGAUUGUGUUUUUUCAAGCAUUAUCACCUUCCAAAUAGCCCAGGAGAGAAAAGGAGAGGUUAUUCAAUACAUCCCUAAUGACCACGGAAAUCUGUCUGGUAAAGCAAACACAGAGGUCUGAAACCACCAUAUUUGGCUCCUGAACAGCAUGGUGACUACUAGAUAAAAAAUGCAGAUAAAUACAACACACAUAAUGAGGCUGAUGCUGAACACAGAGAUCCGGACGGGUGCAGGGCUCAGGCUGCAAGUGAGAGAUGCAAAGGACCAAGCUCUUUCCUUGCAUAGACUGAGUGAAAGAUGUUCAGGGAGGAGUGAGGGCAGAUAACCAACAUCUGGAGUUCCUCCAGUCCAAGAAUAAACA